GUGAUUGUCACCUUUGCUAGAGAAGAUUAGCAUGGCCUCUGUGCAAGGAUGACACGCUUAACUCGAUAAGUGGUCCGAUUUUUU
RNAcentral lists this small nuclear RNA (84 nucleotides) under Capsella rubella. Lineage: Eukaryota; Viridiplantae; Streptophyta; Magnoliopsida; Brassicales; Brassicaceae. The record is from RNAcentral.